AACGAACGCUGGCGGCAGGCUUAACACAUGCAAGUCGAACGCCCCGCAAGGGGAGUGGCAGACGGGUGAGUAACGCGUGGGAAUCUACCGUGCCCUGCGGAAUAGCUCCGGGAAACUGGAAUUAAUACCGCAUACGCCCUACGGGGAAAGAUUUAUCGGGGUACGAUGAGCCCGCGUUGGAUUAGCUAGUUGGUGGGGUA
Molecule: ribosomal RNA, 200 nt
Filed under: uncultured bacterium
Lineage: Bacteria
Description: partial 16S ribosomal RNA
Rfam family: Bacterial small subunit ribosomal RNA
Source: RNAcentral